RNAcentral lists this ribosomal RNA (251 nucleotides) under uncultured bacterium. RNAcentral describes it as "partial 16S ribosomal RNA". It matches the Rfam family "Bacterial small subunit ribosomal RNA", at positions 524 to 774 of the family's 1533-position model. The record is from RNAcentral.
UACGUAGGGUGCAAGCGUUAUCCGGAUUUACUGGGUGUAAAGGGCGAGUAGACGGCGAUGCAAGUCAGAUGUGAAAUGCUAGGGCUUAACCUUAGAACUGCAUCUGAAACUGCAUUGCUAGAGUGCAGGAGAGGUAAGCGGAAUUCCUAGUGUAGCGGUGAAAUGCGUAGAUAUUAGGAGGAACAUCAGUGGCGAAGGCGGCUUACUGGACUGUAACUGACGUUGAGGCGCGAAAGCGUGGGGAGCAAACA